UGGGUGCUAGGACUCUCCUUGGGCACAGC
This 29-nucleotide non-coding RNA is filed under the name Rattus norvegicus (Norway rat). Lineage: Eukaryota; Metazoa; Chordata; Mammalia; Rodentia; Muridae. The record is from RNAcentral.